AGGGAAUCUUCCACAAUGGACGCAAGUCUGAUGGAGCAACGCCGCGUGAGUGAAGAAGGUUUUCGGACCGUAAAGCUCUGUUGUUGGUGAAGAAGGAUAGAGGUAGUAACUGGCCUUUAUUUGACGGUAAUCAACCAGAAAGUCACGGCUAACUACGUGCCAGCAGCCGCGGUAAUACGUAGGUGGCAAGCGUUGUCCGGAUUUAUUGGGCGUAAAGCGAGCGCAGGCGGAAGAAUAAGUCUGAUGUGAAAGCCCUCGGCUUAACCGAGGAAUUGCAUCGGAAACUGUUUUCUUGAGUGCAGAAGAGGAGAGUAGAACUCCAUGUGUAGCGGUGGAAUGCGUAGAUAUAUGGAAGAAUACCAGUGGCGAAGGCGGCUCUCUGGUCUGCAACUGACGCUGAGGCUCGAAAGCAUGGGUAGCGAACAGGAUUAGAUACCCUGGUAGUCCAUGCCGUAAACGAUGAGUGCUAAGUGUUGGGAGGCUUCCGCCUCCCAGUGCUGCAGCUAACGCAUUAAGCACUCCGCCUGGGGGAGUACGACCGCAAGGUUGAAAC
This 553-nucleotide ribosomal RNA is filed under the name uncultured bacterium. RNAcentral describes it as "partial 16S ribosomal RNA". It matches the Rfam family "Bacterial small subunit ribosomal RNA", at positions 356 to 900 of the family's 1533-position model. The record is from RNAcentral.